This 1489-nucleotide long non-coding RNA is filed under the name Cervus hanglu yarkandensis (Yarkand deer). RNAcentral describes it as "lncRNA (ENSCHYG00000011240.1)". Lineage: Eukaryota; Metazoa; Chordata; Mammalia; Artiodactyla; Cervidae. The record is from RNAcentral.
GUGCUCUUUGUUCCCUGCACAAAGGAGCUCUCAGAGAACUUCCGAGAGGCCCCGCUUCCUGGCUGAUUUGAUUUUUUUUUUUUUUUUACAGAGUUGGAGUGUGAAAGCCAGGCUGAACCUGCCUAAUUGUGCCUGUGAAGGCUAUUCAGAGAGACCGUUCUUGGAAGGAAAUCAGGACGAUUAGCUCUUGGCUGCAGCGAGAGGGGAAGCGAGCUAAUCAUGGUGAAUGACAGCCUGUUCCCAGGAGAACCAAAGGGCACAGAACUGGGAGAAAAGACAGCAAGAAAAAAGUGGGGCGUCUGCUGGGCCUGCCUUUGGGGGGUGGCUGGGUUCAGCCAUCAGGUGGGAGCAGAGCCCGGGCUGGACCAGGGAGGGCUUUGCUCACUCAGACUGCAGGGGUGGGUGGUGUGACCGUGGGCCAGUCGCUGAGGGUUUCAGUGGAGUCUCGGUUUCCCUGAGUCUGCAGAAUGAGGGCUGUGCCAAAGGACCGGAUGGAACCAUCCAUCACGGAAACGACAGGAAAUUUUGGAGCCGCCAUACGCGUUUCCCACUGAGCACCUUUGUGGAAUCCUGAGCGAUGAAGUUUCCAGAGGGUGGCAUGGCUGAGAGCAACGGUGGCCCCUGAGGACACGUGGCCAGGUAGCUGAUGUCCCCAGGGCCCCGUUCCACGCGGGGAGGAGGCUGGGCGAAGCUAACUGGGCUGCCAGCACCACAGAGGGGACCCACUGUUCCUGACCCCAGCCGCUCCUUUUGGACACGAGAGAUAAGGAGUGUAACGCCUACAUGAUAUAAAAUGGUUUGAAACAAGGUCUGUAAACAGCAUCAUGCCAACAGGCACUCAGGGUUAUGUGACUAGCAUCCUCUCCUGGGUGACCCGUGGUAGGAGUGGAGGCAAACCACAACAGAUGAAGGAGGUGAAGAGGUCAGGGAGGAUGCUCCCCCUGAAGAGACGGGAAAGGACACGCGGCUGAUUAGACUUGGGGUUCGGCUGGGUCGCUGUUCACCCUGUUCAUUGCGGGUGUGUGUCGUGUGCCCUGUGGCUCCCUGGGGCUUCUUUUUGCUGACUUCUCUCUGCUCACUUUGCUGAGUUCGAGUACAGCGGCCCUCCCACAGCCCACGGUGUCUGAAGGUGGAAAGGGCGGUGGGAGGCAAGGAGGGAGUUUGCCGGUGGGCUUGCUGGCCCAGCGGUCCUUCUACCCGUGGGGCCGAGUAGGAGGGUGCCCUGUGGCAGCUCCCUGCCAGGGAAUCUCUGUCCGUCGGCCUCCCCCGGCCCUCUCCGCUGCCUACCUGCCAGGAACACACAAUUCCAUCCUAAUGCCUUUUCAAUAAAGCCUUAAAGAUGACAGACCCCAUUUCCUGAGUAGAGCAGAGAGCAGUUAUUUUACACUUCAUCUAAUUGAUUAGAAUGACUCCUGUAAAUUAACUAGGCCUUGCAGAGCCAAGGGUGGGGUAGAGAGCCAGGCAGACAGAGUGGCUUGCCCAGGGGGUG